RNAcentral lists this ribosomal RNA (2368 nucleotides) under Anaerophaga thermohalophila str. Valhall. RNAcentral's name for it is "bacterial LSU rRNA". It matches the Rfam family "Bacterial large subunit ribosomal RNA", at positions 395 to 2841 of the family's 2925-position model. The record is from RNAcentral. Lineage: Bacteria; Pseudomonadati; Bacteroidota; Bacteroidia; Marinilabiliales; Marinilabiliaceae.
GAUCAGUAGUAUCCUGAGUAGGGCGGGACACGAGGAAUCCUGUCUGAAUCGACCGGGCCCAUCCGGUAAGGCUAAAUACUCCUGAGAGACCGAUAGAGAACAAGUACCGUGAGGGAAAGGUGAAAAGCACCCCUGACAGGGGAGUGAAAAAGUACCUGAAACCGUGCGCCUACAAGCAGUCGAAGCCCCGUUAGAGGGGUAACGGCGUGCCUUUUGCAUAAUGAGCCUACGAGUUAUACCUUACCGGCAAGGUUAAGUACCAAAAAGGUAUGCAGCCGAAGCGAAAGCGAGUCUGAACAGGGCGAUGAAAGUCGGUAUGGAUAGACGCGAAACCAGGUGAUCUACCCAUGGUCAGGUUGAAGUCCCGGUAACACGGGAUGGAGGACCGAACCAGUAAACGUUGAAAAGUUUUUGGAUGAACUGUGGGUAGGGGUGAAAGGCCAAUCAAACCUGGAAAUAGCUCGUACUCCCCGAAAUGCAUUUAGGUGCAGCCUUAUGAAAUUUUAGCACAGGUAGAGCUACUGAUAGGACGCGAGGGUUUCAUCGCCUAUCAACUCCUGACAAACUCCGAAUGGUGCUAAAAGAUUCAUAGGAGUGAGGGCAUGGGUGCUAAGGUCCGUGUCCGAGAGGGAAAGAACCCAGACCACCGUCUAAGGUCCCGAAAUGUAUGCUAAGUUGAAGCAAACGCGGUAUGGUUGCACAGACAGCUAGGAUGUUGGCUUGGAAGCAGCCAUUCAUUUAAAGAGUGCGUAACAGCUCACUAGUCGAGCGACCGUGCAUGGAUAAUAAUCGGGCAUUAAGCAUGCUACCGAAGACGUGGAUUGCCCCCAUCCGGGGGCAGUGGUAGGGGAGCAUUCCAAGACCGCCGAAGCAGUACUGUGAGGUAUUGUGGAGGGCUUGGAAAAGCAAAUGUAGGCAUAAGUAACGAUAAUGAAGGUGAGAGACCUUCACGCCGAAAGACCAAGGAUUCCUGAUCAACGCUAAUCGGAUCAGGGUCAGUCGGGCCCUAAGGCGCACCCGAAAGGGGUAGCCGAUGGCAAGCAGGUCAACAUUCCUGCACCCGCUAUACAAUAAAAGUGACGGGGUCACCAGGUGUCUGAGCGCUGACGGAAUAGCGCCCUGAGCCUAGGCUACGGCCGAAGCGAAGACAAGUAAUGACUUCCAGGAAAAGCGAGUAUAGCGGCCCGUACCGUAAACGGACACACGUAGUUGGGUUGAGUAUACUAAGGCGCUCGAGUGAUCCGCGGCUAAGGAACUAGGCAAAUUAGUCCUGUAACUUCGGGAGAAAGGACCCCCGGUAUAUAUUUCGGUAUAUAUUGGGGCGCAGAGAAAUGGCCCAGGCGACUGUUUACCAAAAACACAUGGCUUUGCCAAAUCGCAAGAUGACGUAUAAGGCCUGACACCUGCCCGGUGCCGGAAGGUUAAGAGGAGAUGUUAAUCGUAAGGUGAAGCAUUGAAUUGAAGCCCCGGUAAACGGCGGCCGUAACUAUAACGGUCCUAAGGUAGCGAAAUUCCUUGUCGGGUAAGUUCCGACCUGCACGAAUGGUGUAACGAUCUGGGCACUGUCUCAGCCGCGAGCUCGGUGAAAUUGUAGUACCGGUGAAGAUGCCGGUUACCCGCAACGGGACGGAAAGACCCCGUGAACCUUUACUGCAACUUAACAUUGAUUUUGGGUAAGUGAUGUGUAGGAUAGGUCGGAGACAGUGAAUCGCGUUCGCCAGGACGCGUGGAGUCGCCCUUGAAAUACGACCCUUUACUUGCCUGGAGUCUAAUCCCGCAGAGCGGGAGACAUUGUUUGGUGGGUAGUUUGACUGGGGUGGUCGCCUCCAAAAGUGUAACGGAGGCUUCCCAAGGUUCCCUCAAGACGAUUGGUAACCGUCUGCAGAGUAUAAUGGCAUAAGGGAGCUUGACUGUGAGACCGACAAGUCGACCAGGUGCGAAAGCAGGGCAUAGUGAUCCGGUGGUUCCGCAUGGAAGGGCCAUCGCUCAAAGGAUAAAAGGUACUCCGGGGAUAACAGGCUGAUCGCCGCCAAGAGCUCAUAUCGACGCGGCGGUUUGGCACCUCGAUGUCGGCUCGUCACAUCCUGGGGCUGGAGAAGGUCCCAAGGGUUGGGCUGUUCGCCCAUUAAAGUGGCACGCGAGCUGGGUUCAGAACGUCGUGAGACAGUUCGGUCCCUAUCUGUUGUGGGCGUAGGAGAUUUGCGAGACCCUGUCGUUAGUACGAGAGGACCGCGAUGGACAGACCACUGGUGCAUCAGUUGUUCCGCCAGGAGCACCGCUGAGUAGCUAAGUCUGGAAGGGAUAAGUGCUGAAAGCAUCUAAGCACGAAGCCUGUCUCAAGAUAAGAUCUCCACAAAAGGGGCGUUGC